CCUACGGUCGGCAGCAGUGAGGAAUAUUGGUCAAUGGGCGCUAGCCUGAACCAGCCAAGUAGCGUGAAGGAUGACUGCCCUAUGGGUUGUCAACUUCUUUUAUAUGGGAAUAAAGUCCAGUAUGUAUACUUCUUUGCAUUUACCUUAUGAAUAAGGAUCGGCUAACUCCGUGCCAGCAGCCGCGGUAAUACGGAGGAUCCGAGCGUUAUCCUGCUUUAUUUGGUUUAAAGGGAGCGUAGACGGGUUGUUAAGUCAGGUGUGAAAGUUUGCGGCUAAACCGUAAAAUUGCAAUUGAUACUGGCAUCCUUGAGUACAGUAGAGGUAGGCGGAAUUCGUGGUGUAGCGGUGAAAUGCUUAGAUAUCACGAAGAACUCCGAUUGCGAAGGCAGCCUGCUAGACUGUAACUGACGCUGAUGCUCGAAAGUGUGGGUAUCAAACAGGAUUAGAUACCCUGGUAGUC
Molecule: ribosomal RNA, 460 nt
Filed under: uncultured bacterium
Lineage: Bacteria
Description: partial 16S ribosomal RNA
Rfam family: Bacterial small subunit ribosomal RNA
Source: RNAcentral